Molecule: long non-coding RNA, 3681 nt
Filed under: Cottoperca gobio
Lineage: Eukaryota; Metazoa; Chordata; Actinopteri; Perciformes; Bovichtidae
Description: lncRNA (ENSCGOG00000008267.1)
Source: RNAcentral
AUGAGGCUCCUGGUGCUUCUUGCAGCUUCUCUCUCCAUCCUCACCCUCCACAUUGCAGCGGUAGCCCCAGCAGAAAGCAUGGCCCCGGGCCGGCUGGAGCGCUGGGUCCGCUCAGGCCUCCAGUCGCUGCAGUGGGACCAGCUUGACCGGUGCCUCCGCAUGUCCUCCCUUUCUGAGGCCGAGUGCAGGCGGAUCGCCCACCUACCGUUGUCCGCGGUGGCAGUUUACGUAUCGGAGCCAUGCACAGCUGCAGGUAAUUCAAACAAAGUUCUGGCCAUCCUGCCCGACUCCUCGGGUGGCUCCAUGAGCUCCAAACCACGGGGAGGUUUCAGCCAGGUGCUGAAUGGAAGGGACGGUCAUCACAGACGCCAGCAGCCUUUCCCUGGUUCAACGGCCCAUGAUGCCGUGCUGGUGCUGGACCCGAGCCCCGGGGAGAACUUUGGACACCCAGUGGUCCUCUUCUAUGUGGAUGUGAAUGUGACGAAGAAGAGAUGCUCCCACCUCGAUGGCAUUUACCUGGGUGAGGAGUGUUUGACUCUGGCUUUGAAGGGUCGCUGUCAGAACCAGCUGAAGCGUCGGCAAGCCGGGCCAGAGAGGCUUAUGGGUAAUGGACAUGGUCGGCUGGCAGGUGGGGCGCUGCGCGGUAGUACCAUUACCACAAGCGGUGGCAGCCGUCUGGUGGAGCGAGCCGUUGGAGGGCUCUGUGAAGUCCACUUCCUUCCACUGGUGGUCGGAGUUGGAGACAGCAACCGAACGCAGAGACUCAGAUGUGUUGAACAUGCAGAGUUUGCAAGGUGCCCUCAGCCACUGCCACUGAGCUCUCCCAGCGUGCCGGUCUCCAGCUGUGAGCUAAAUAAAAACACCAGACGCUGCCACCAGCAGCCGUUGGCCACUCACCUCUCCUGCCGACUCUACCAGACCUGUGACCACUCUGUGCUCAUCUCAGGUGGCUGGCAGCAGCAGAUGACGUUCCAGCGUCAUGUCCAGAAUCUGCAGAGGUUCUACAGAAUGCUGCAGAACAACGGCUUCCACAAAGAACACAUCAAGACCUUCUUCGCCAGCAGUGGGCAGCUUCCUGAGGAUUUAGAGGGUGUGUACUCAGCAACGGAGAAGGCAGUGAUUCGUAACCACGUGUCGUACGUCUGCAGGAAGCAUCACUGCGCCGACACGCUGGUUCUCUACCUGAACUCACCAACACGCAAUGACGGCACAAUGCUGCUGUGGGACGCCAACCUCAACGGCAUUGCUGACCUGAAGGAGAGGUACUCAGUCAACGAGCUGCUGGCCGACCUGGCCGGCUGCAGGGCGACGCGUGUUUUGCUGUUUGUGGAUCAGAGCUACAGUGGCGUUCUGUCCAAGAGGCUGCGGGGGUCCCAGAAACACCUCAAUGUAGUUCUGAUCCAGAGCCAGACACGGCAGACCCACAACCACCAGAGGUUGAACUCUGGCUGGGAGGACAGCGGCUGGUCCUACAUCGGCCCUCAGAGCUGCCUGCUAGACCACCUGGGAAAGGGUACCGGGAUGUCUCGCCUCCUGGAGCCGUGGGCCGGCCUUUUAAACGUGACGCUGGCCGGAGCCCCCUGCAAUGCCACGCCGCCUCUGACGGAUGACGAGAUGCGACGAGAGUACCAGGGCUGCCAGAACCUGCCGACCGCGCUGUGGCACCGGAAACACAAGAGGACCAACUGAGAGAGAGAGAGAGAGAGAGACACUGAGACUGACUGGGAGAGGGAGAGAGAGAGAGAGAGAAAUUAAUUAUGGACACACAGACAGACCACUCACAAGUGUUUGCUUUACAAACAUGCAUAUUUGCAAGUGUGUGUUAACUUAAGACUUUAGUUUCAGUGUGCUUGGUGGACACUGGUGUGAGUGUGUGUGCUUUCUGUCCUAACUAUUCGCCAGUCACCAUGGCGAUGUCAGCUCAUCCCAACGGGAGUGUCCUGAACACCAUGUGAACUGUGUGUGUGUGUGUGUGUGUGUGUGUGUGUGUGUGUGUGUGUGUGUGUGUGUGUGUGUGUGAGUUCAGCAAAAGGACAACCACUCUUGUAGACCAUUGCUAGCUUACGCUUGCGUCAGUGUGUGUGUGUGUGUGUGUGUGUGUGUGUGUGUGUGUGUGUGUGUGUGUGCGUACAUCUCCUGGGCACUUAAAGAUUUCAGAGCCAAUCAUCGUUCUGUAUGUUUUCUGUAUCUUUAUAAGUGUCAUUUCUUCUUCCUUCUUCUCUUCGUUGUUUCCCUCUUCUCUUAAUUAUGUCCUUUGCUUCACCUUUGGUCGGCUACGUUCCUCCCAACCUUUCCUCUCUGGAUGUCCUCCUCUAACCUCCUCUUAUUUCUUCCCCUUCUCCAUGUCUCCUCUUUCUCUCCCUCUCUUCUUUAUUAAAUUUCCUUCUGUCUUUCUUUUAUUGGCAAUCACUUCCUUACUCCGUCCAUCAUUUCUUCCUCUCUUUUCCUUUCCUCUUCCUCGGCCUUUUUGGCUAGAAUAAUUUAGUCACAAGACAUCAGAACUUGCAAAACCCUUAGACAUGAUGUGAGUUUUGUGCAUUUAGAAUCCGUGCACAUGAAAACUCGAAUGAAAACACUACAAUCCUUUAAAAGAAAGCCUCUCAGUUAAAAGGUCCUGAGGUUAAGAUUGACUGACACUACUCUUGGAGAAUGGGGAAACGUCCAAGCAGAACUCUUCUAAAAGAAAUCCCCGAAAUGAACAAUCGGUCAUCCAAACUUGUGUCUCAUUGUGGUUUACACCUCUCUUGAAAACCCAAUCAGCCUGUUUAAUGAUAUUUCAUAUACUCUCACAACUUCAGUUGUCCUUUUUAUAAAGCAUCCAAAAGGAGAAAGGACAUACACCCUUCUAUUCUGCUGUCACUGUCUCAGUGAGGACGGUUACUACUCAACAAGAUUUCAUUUUGCUUGAGGCCGAACAACAGCAGCAGUUUAAUUAUUGUCAAGUCAAAUUAUAUUGGCCAACAGAAAACCUACAAAACAAACCUACUAGACUAAAAUCACAUUCAAGCAAAGUAAUGUCUGAGAUCAGGAAAUUAAUUUAGAAGAUUUAGAGACUUUUAGAGGUUUUUUGUAUUCGUCUUGACCUGAGGAAGCGAGAAAGAGAGAGACACGGACACAGCGAGGAAACAAGAGACAGAAACUGGUUGGCAGUGAUCAUGAUUAAGAUAUGAAGCACUGAGACUGCCCUCACUGCUACACAGACUGGCUAUGGCAUUUUAAUAAGGGCACAACUUAAGUGUGUGUGUGUGUGUGAUGCAUGUGUGUGUGCUCACAUGCACACGUUCUAAUAUUAACCCAUCUCUACACUAACAACGUACAUGUUCUCUGUGAUAUUGUCUGUACAUUACCUCCUGUCCUUUCUCCAUCUGAGUAGUAACCAUGUAUACCACGGCCCCAAUGUACAUGUCGUUCCCUUCCUGCUGUGUUUUGUACUGAUUUCUGUCCCGUUGUACUGAUGUGUCUUACAUUAAAGAUGUGUUUAUUCAAGAGAUGGACGUUGAUUGGGAGAGCAACUUUCCAAAUGCAUGGGACAUUGUGGACAAGAACUAUGUCCAACAAGUUGACAUGUGCAUAUUCACAGUUUGUGUAAUAAUCUGUACAGAGUAUAUCUAGUUGCAUGCAGCAAAUCACAAAAUCUAGUCAAUAAAGUACUUUUAGAAACCAGCGAAGAACGUGAGAUUU